Molecule: ribosomal RNA, 450 nt
Filed under: uncultured bacterium
Lineage: Bacteria
Description: partial 16S ribosomal RNA
Rfam family: Bacterial small subunit ribosomal RNA
Source: RNAcentral
GUGGGGAAUAUUGGACAAUGGGCGAAAGCCUGAUCCAGCCAUGCCGCGUGUGUGAAGAAGGUCUUCGGAUUGUAAAGCACUUUAAGUUGGGAGGAAGGGCAGUAAGUUAAUACCUUGCUGUUUUGACGUUACCGACAGAAUAAGCACCGGCUAACUUCGUGCCAGCAGCCGCGGUAAUACGAAGGGUGCAAGCGUUAAUCGGAAUUACUGGGCGUAAAGCGCGCGUAGGUGGUUUUGUAAGUUGGAGGUGAAAUCUCCGGGCUCAACCUGGGAACUGCCUCCAAAACUGCAUGACUAGAGUACGGUAGAGGGUAGUGGAAUUUCCUGUGUAGCGGUGAAAUGCGUAGAUAUAGGAAGGAACACCAGUGUCGAAGGCGACUACCUGGACUGAUACUGACACUGAGGUGCGAAAGCGUGGGGAGCAAACAGGAUUAGAAACCCGGGUAGUCC